Non-coding RNA from Sus scrofa (pig), 6661 nucleotides. The record is from RefSeq and is a predicted model, not a curated record. Lineage: Eukaryota; Metazoa; Chordata; Mammalia; Artiodactyla; Suidae.
GGUAUUUCUGUAUUCUUAACUUGGUUUCAAGUUAUUUUUGAGCAAUAUAUAUUUUAUUUUAUUGUGGAUGGGGAGACACUUAUUAUAAUAAUAAGAUGAUUUUUUUCAAAUGUUUUUAAAAAUUUUUUUAAUGUUUUUAUUUUUUUCCAUUAUAGCUGGCUUACAGUGUCCUGUCAAUUUUCAACUGUACAGCAAGGUGACCCAGUCACACAUACACAUAUACAUUCCUUUUUAUCACAUUAUCAUGCUCCAUCAUAAGUGACUAGAUAUAGUUCCCAGUGCUAUACAGCAGAGCAAUAUAUAUUUUGAAAUCAAAAAAGGAAUAGCAUUAUCUAGCACACAUGCCAAAAGUAGGCUUGCUUAACUUCUAAGAGACUAGGCAAAUUGAAGUGCUCUAGCUCUAGAGUACAUGAGACACACAUAGAAAUAAUUAAUGAAAGUAGCAUUUGAAGCUCACCUAAUGCAUGCUGAGAUGAUUUGCAUUUUAAACAAGUCUGCAGGCCACCUUUUGGACCCACAUGACCUCCCAGAGAUCUCAUUUUGAGGCCCCCUGUGCUAGAUUAUAGCUGCUUCACGAGCAGGAAUACUUAUUUGAUUGCUGUAUUUUAAUUCAUAGAAUGGUGGUGUUGAUUGAGUGCCCCAAGCCAAAUAAAUGAGCCACUUGUAUUAGACACUUGUUCACAUUCAUAAAAACAACAAAUAAUAUUAUCUUCAUCAAGGCCUUCCUAAGAAAUAGUGAUUAAAUCAUGUCUGGUGUUUUCUUUGUGUGCAGUUUCUUUCCAAGAGGUGGAAGGAACUGAUUUGCUUUUGAUGAACCUGUAUUGCCUACAAAUUGAUGUCCAUAGAUUUCCUACUUUAUUAAUUGUCCCAGCAAUUUAGCCAGCAAUGAUUUAUAUGAAAUAUUCUCUCUUGUUGCAGGCUCUACAGUCAGCUAAUUGAUUGCUGUAUGAAUUAUGCAUCCUAAGCCAAAUGCAAGGGUGCAUGAAAGAUGCAGCCAAGGUCAUUUCCACCAAAGAGAACUACAGUGACUAAAUGUCUUUUAAGACAGGCUUUAUUACUUUAAUUUUGCUGCUUUCUUCCUUUAUACAUCAAGCCUAGAGUAAUGAGCACACUCUAAAAUCACACCUUUAAUUUAUAAAAAGAUGCAGGCACCCACAGUUCAGUGUUCUGCUGCCUGACAAGGGCUAUAAUUGAAUUAAUUUGGUAAAGCUAAGGAAAGAACCAAAGAUGGCAUACAGGUGCUUUUUAUCUGAUUCCAAAGUAUGCCAAAUUCCAUCAAAUUUGCCUAUAGUUUAUUAAACCUCAAAAGAGACUGCUCCAGAAUUAAGCCCUUUUGACUAGAUGAAGGCCAUGGUGGGACUAGGUACCAAGUAGUUGGCAUUUCAGCAGAUGAUGAAGGACAGUUUUGAAAAGUUACCAUCAGUUAUCAUUUAUUCCUACUAAGAGAAGUGAUCAGCUUUUGCAUUCUUUUGUUCUGUAUCAAAGAGUGAUGCUUUACUGAAGUUUUCAGAAUUAAAGCAAGUAAGUUGGAAUGACGAAAAGAUUUGGAUGUUGAUGUCUCAGUGGCUAGAUUUGAAUGACCACUUAGCCAUUUACUAGUUGAGUGACUUUAGGCAAUUUAACCCUUCUGGACUUCAGUUGCCUUAUGUAAUAAUGGUCAUAAUAAUAUUUUACUUGCAUAGUUAUUGUAAAGAUAAGCAUGACUGUAAGAGUCAGUGAAAUCAAUAAUUUAGCCCCAGAGCUUACAAAACAGCGUAUAUACUCUGGUACAGUAUUCCUCGAAUUACAAAUUGCACGUGAGGUCUCAUCGCCAUAAAACCAUAUCACUAUAUGCCCCCUAAACUAAACAAACGUCUUCUGAUGUGAAUGUAUUCAUAUACUCAGAGCACUCUUCUUGGCAUUAAUCUACACACACAAAAAAGUGCAUGUUUCAGGACAAACUACAGAUACCUGAGGCAUAUGCCACCUCACUGAGACUGUGCUGCAUAAUACAUGUGCUAUGAUUUCACAUUAGAGGAACAGAUAUCUUAAAAGAGAAGAAUCGAUCACAAACGCUUCAGACCAGCACUUCAUGCUUUCAUGCACAUAGCAAUCAGCUGCAGAUCUUGUUGAAAAUGCUGAUUCUGAUUCAGUAGUUUGCAGCUGGGGCCUGAGAUUCUGCAGUCCCAUUAACUUCCCGAUAAUGUGACGCACAAUUUGAGUUGCAAGGCUGAGUGCUUUGCAAACCUAGCUGCAUGUGAGAUUCUCCUGAAGACCUCUAAAGAUAAUGAUGCCUGAGCUUUUCCUCAGAUUAAUUGAAUCUCUGGGGUUAAAUCCUUGGCUUAGGUACUGUUUUAAAGCUCCCUGAGUGAUCUUUAUUUGUAGAGCCAUAGUUGAGAAAUGCUCUAGUGUUUUAGACACAAAGGAAAAUGAUUCCACCCCGUAUCAGAUGAUCUUUCUUUUUUUGGCUCGCCCAUGGCAUGAGGAAAUUCCCAAGCCAGGAAUCAAACCCACACCACUGUAGCAACCCAAGCCAUGGCAGUGACAAUGCUGGAUCCUUAAAUUGAUGUGCCAAAGAACUCCCCAGAUGAUCUUUCUAAAAAUCAUGUAUUAGCAAAGCCCAGACUGUAACAUAGAGAGCCUGAGACCCAGGCUUCAGAAAGCAACAGUGUGGUAGCAGGGCUUCUACAGCUCACCGGGGCCUGGAAGAAGCUUCUUUAACUGUUGUACUUCCCUAAUUGGAGGACAGCUUCUCACCAGGCCCUGGGACAGACUCAACACCUCAUCACCUCUUUGUAAAAAGUGUUACCCCUAUCAGUGAUUCUGGAGCUGUGGUUUGAACCUGGAGUGGAAGGAAAUGCCAUUUAGCAUUGAAGGACCAUAGUAUUCACAGAUUUGACUUACAGAGUAGAAAAUGCGCACCAUGAUGAGGAAAUGUUGCUGCUAUGAAAGGUAUCAGCUCUAUUCACAACUACCUAUGACCUCAUGUCUUUAAAAUUAACACCUGGAAUAUGCUGUCUGUAAGUUAACUCUACUUUUUCUAAGUUCCCAUAGUAGCCUUUCUUGCUUGCUUGUUAUAUUCCCAGCAUUACAGUUUUUAAUUCACUAUCUGGUCUCCCUGUUUCAGUGGCACCUGCAUCAGAUCAACCAGAGCCUUUUAAGACCUUGCUGAUCUGCCCAUCUACCUUAGUUCCUGGUGUUUCUAACAAAUUCCUAUGAGGUACUACUCUUAGACAUUGGUCCAGGAAUUCCCCCCUCCCAUCAUUUGAGAACUACUGCUUUAUUAUUUCAUGAGCUUCAUGGGAAGAGGUUUUGUGCCUUUAUAUUGUCCAUCUACCAGCAGUGCCUAGUAGGUAGAUGGUAUGAACAGAUAUCAUUAGAAUAAAAAGUGACAGCCAUGCCCCCUCUCAUUCAUAGUGAAAACAUUGGAAAUUUCAUCCAGCCCAUAAAGGAUAGUACUUUCCAAAGAAACUCAAAAAAUAACAUUGACUUAGGGAUCUUUGCUACUGUGGACUCUAAAAUGUCUGGGGGCACUUUCCAUGAAAGCUUUUUUUUUUUCCCCCUGAGCCACUAUGUUAUGGUAAUGAAAUCAGCAUGACAUUACCAUGUUGACUGUUGAGACUUCCACUCAAGGUGCAACAGAAGCCGCUCCUCCAGGGCCAUCUGCUUUCAAUUUUUCAGCUGAACCUCCUGAAGACUCACCAGGUGCUAAUUUUGUAUAUGGUUCCAUUGGAAUUGUAUCAUUUUUCUUUAGAUUUUAAUUCCCAAAGAAAGGGAAAGAUUCACUGAAGCAGAAAAGCUCCCUGACCUAGAGAAGAUCAGGAAUGAUUCCUAACUGAACAAAGGCUGGUUCUACAAAUCGUUGACAAAUUGGCUGGGUUUUAGUCAAUCCAUUUUUUAAAGUCACUUCCUGAGUGUGUAGGCUUUUGCAGUCCGGGUCAGCCAUGCAGUCCAUCCAAUUCAGUCUCAGGAGGAGGAAAUAGAUUGAGUGUUUUUAAAUCUGUAUUUUUUACUCUCCUAACCUAGAAAGUUGGUACUUUAGACAAUUUGGAACACAGACGCCACAACUUUAUGAAAAUCUCUGUAGGUGUUGACCUUGUUGCGUCCACUUCUGCUGCAUGUUUCCUUUUCACCUUCAAGUACGUUAGAAAUCACUCACACUUGUUACUUGAAAAGCUAAUAUUGGUCAGUUGAUUAGAAUCUCUUCUAAUCCUCAUGUUAUCUGCAUUCAUAUUAAUAGGAGAGAGACCAACAACCUCAUCCGUGAUUAUUCCAAAUAAAGGCUGAUCUUCAUCUUCACAUAUGAGCACUAAGGUAGAGCAAAACUCAUGACAGAGCAGAGAAAAGGGGGCAUUUUAGCAGCUAAGCCUCAGGCUGACUUGAGCCAAACUAAAUGCUUUGUAAUCUCUCUUUAAACAAAAGCCUUAGCUUCUGUAAUCCUUCUAUUAAUCUAUCCCUAUGAAGCCUCCUGAGGUUGAAGCUGCUGCUCAUGGCAUUUUUAUGAACAACCUAGAUCCCUGCCUACAAAUUGCUUUCCAAAGGUGAUGGCAGCAGUGUCAACUUAGCUCAAGUGUCAUGAGUCAUGUUUCCCUCCCUUUGGAGACACCUGCCCAAGCAAAGCCUAAGCAUCCUUUGCUUGUAUUCUCACUGUACCAAUGUCCUGUUACUGAGCAUCCAUCCAGCCAAGAGCCCUGACUCAUUAAAGUACUGCUGAGAGACUAUUGUGUCUGUAUGCACCUUCUGUUCUUGAAAUCCCAAGGAAAGCUUCCAUUUGUCAUGUAAAUACGAGCCAUGCCAUGUUGUGCUCUGGCUCCACCCGAAGUCUGGUGUCUUUGCUAGGGUCCUUCAGUGCCUGUGAACUUCCACUGCCUUUCCUGAGGGGAAACAGCAAGGAAGCUCAGGCUUCAUGCCAGAUCGAUGCCUGAAGGAGGUACAGUCUAGUCAGGAUUGAAAUGGCUCAUGCUGACCAUUGUGUGCUCACUGUGACUUUCCAAAGGCAUCUUAAUGCUGCUGAUGAAGACCUGCAAAGAGAGACAAUGAAAAGCUGUACUUCAAAUUGACACCUAAAAAUAAAAAUAAAAACAGAUCACUGUGCAGAAACAUCAGAAAGAGCAUAUAACUUUUGAUGCACCUGUUAUAAUGGUAUCAUGUGUUCACGUUGAGUACAGGUAUGUGUGCAUGUGGGUGCAUGAACAUGGGCACACACAGACGCACACACACACACACUCCUACACAAGAGAGCACCUAUCUCCUACCUUUUCAUAAGCCCAAACUUUAGAUAUUUGUGGAAGAGAAACAAUCUCUAGAUAAAUUCUCAUAAGAUAAAGAUGAAUUUUGACUUUAUCUUUGACCUAGAAAUCUAGGCUCAAGCUUAUUGAUAAGAAAGUUACUCUAGCUGGGAAUUUAAAAAAAUCCUGGAUUCUCAAGAAGUGGCCUAGUUUAAUGGAAGGACUAUGGUCUUCAGGAUGAAACAGACCUGGCUCUAAGUCCCUCAUAUCUCAUUUAUUAAUUGUGUGGCUAUGAGCAAAUACCUCAAACUCUCUUAGCCUCAGUUUCCUUGUAUGCAUAAGUUCUUUGGAAGCAUUCAAGAUGUUGUGUGUGAUGUGGCCAGAAGAAGAUAGAACCUAAAUGAAAGGUAGGUAGCUUCUAUUACUGGCCAACUUAUUCUUAUUGGACAAGUUGUGUGACCUUUUGGAGCCCUGGGUUCUUCUUCAUAGAAUCAAUUCUAGUGUUCCAAGAUUCAGAACCUAGUGCUUAUGUGUAGGGAAGGAGAAUCAGGAUUUUCUUAGCAAAAGCUGAUGAAUCUCCUCCUUCUCCUUGGUGUUCCCAGGGAGGGAAUGUGGGGGAAUGGGCAAAAGUUCUGUCUCCACAUAUGUACAGGUGUUAAUAAAAUGGGGCAGGAUGAUGGUAAGUCCUUAGGGAAGAAAGUGUAAAACUUCCACUUUCAUCCUGUCAUCUUGACUUCUCUCUCUCCCUCCCUGCCUCUUCCUGUCUCUUCCCCUCCUCUCUCCUUCUCUCCAAAUGAAAAUAAUUUACUCUUUCAGCCUUACAUUUCAAAGUCAUUAACAUGAACACACUUACAAAACUACAUACAAGCAUUAAGUUAUUGGACAAGAUGCAUGUAAUCAUCAUUGCAGAUCUGUAACUCUAAAUCACAAUUUCUUCAGCUUUCUGGCUGUAAAUUGUGUUCAACUCUGGACUGUCCUAGAAAGUAAUAAUUGAAGAAAAGUUAAUGUUCCUAAAGUGCUUCACAUAGAGAAUACUAGGUAAAGGUAUCACACCAUCUUGCAUUUGGUGAAUUUUCUAAGAGUUCUCUUCUCUACACCCCAUAUUUGAUGUAUAUUAAGCAAUGUCAUCUGUCAUCCAGGACUGUCACUUAGUCCCUUCAAAGGAAACUCAUGCAGCUGGACUCCAUGUCAUCAUUUCAAAGAUGCGUGCAUUUGCAAGGACUCUCUGGAUCCUUUAUUUAAGAAAGAGAAGAAGGAAAGACAUGUGAGGAGUGGAAAGAGAUGAAAGAAUGCUGAAGAGGAAUUCCCAUCGUGGCUUAGUGGAUUCUUUGAGCAAGUCACCACAUGGGCCAACAGAGCUCCUGAGGUAAGGGCCCUACAUAAGGGGAGCUUCCUGGACCUUCCCAUUCCCAAUAGUGUUAGCACCAUUUGUGCUACCUGCCUGGCUUUUGGAG